RNAcentral lists this ribosomal RNA (459 nucleotides) under uncultured bacterium. Its description in RNAcentral is "partial 16S ribosomal RNA". It matches the Rfam family "Bacterial small subunit ribosomal RNA", at positions 338 to 795 of the family's 1533-position model. The record is from RNAcentral.
CCUACGGGAGGCAGCAGUGAGGAAUAUUGGUCAAUGGGCGGGAGCCUGAACCAGCCAAGCCGCGUGAGGGAAGAAGGUACAGCGUAUCGUAAACCUCUUUUGUCAGGGAACAAAGGCGGGGACUAGUCCCCUGAUGAGGGUACCUGAAGAAAAAGCAUCGGCUAACUCCGUGCCAGCAGCCGCGGUAAUACGGAGGAUGCGAGCGUUAUCCGGAUUUAUUGGGUUUAAAGGGUGCGCAGGGGGCCUGUUAAGUCAGCGGUAAAAGCCCGGGGCUCAACCCCGGCGAGCCGUUGAAACUGGCGGGCUGGAGUUGGAGAGAAGUACGCGGAAUGCGCGGUGUAGCGGUGAAAUGCUUAGAUAUCGCGCAGAACCCCGAUUGCGAAGGCAGCGUACCGGCUCCACACUGACGCUGAGGCACGAAAGCGUGGGUAUCGAACAGGAUUAGAUACCCUUGUAGUC